UCUUAUCACGUUGAAACAUCGGUUCCCGUACGAUCAUCGAAGUUAAACAAUAUCGAGCCUGGUCAGUAUCUAGAUGGGUGACCACUUGGGGCUUCCAGGUGUUGUAA
Non-coding RNA from Acanthosepion pharaonis, 107 nucleotides. The record is from the annotation of a GenBank genome assembly. Lineage: Eukaryota; Metazoa; Mollusca; Cephalopoda; Sepiida; Sepiidae.